Ornithorhynchus anatinus (platypus) is the source of this 601-nucleotide long non-coding RNA. RefSeq lists it as uncharacterized. The transcript has 3 exons. The record is from RefSeq and is a predicted model, not a curated record. NCBI's taxonomy places the organism in Eukaryota, Metazoa, Chordata, Mammalia, Monotremata, Ornithorhynchidae.
GGAGCAUUCAUCAUCAAUGGAAUUCCUGCAGAGAAAAUCAGGAUAAAGGAAGUUGGAGACCAGACUACUGAAAUCCUUUGGCCACAGAACGUCAGGGAGUGGAGAUACUCGCUGCCAGAUUCAUGCGGAGACCAGGUUCUCCUCGGCACAGAAGUCAAAUUGCCACAUUGAAAUGGAAAGCCUGCGGUUAAUGAAGAACACAGAUCCAAAGUUAUUUUCAAAACUCCGGGCCACGCAGUCAGCUCUGUACUUUUCGCAGCUGGACUCCCUCUGCAGUCUGGGUCUGAUAAAAUAGGACUUUGUUUCAGACUAUCAAAUGACAUGUUCCAAACAUUUGGAAUAGAGUUAGUUCUUCUAAAAGGUGACAGAUUGAUAGACCAUGGAUAAAGCAGUGCAGCCUCUAGAUAUGUGUGUGUCAUGAGAAACAGAACCGGGCCUAUUCCAGUGACACAGAUACUGCCAAAAGUAGAGCGUGCCUGGAAGCAUCAUAAAUACCCGAGGAGUGGAAGCCAGCCUUUAAGAAGGUCAACCAGAAGCCCAUCCUGGAAAGGGUCGCCAAAGACAGAAGGUAUGAAUGGCCAAUUGCUUUAGCAUCGCCAGC